This 1340-nucleotide ribosomal RNA is filed under the name uncultured bacterium. RNAcentral describes it as "bacterial SSU rRNA". It matches the Rfam family "Bacterial small subunit ribosomal RNA", at positions 28 to 1381 of the family's 1533-position model. The record is from RNAcentral.
GACGAACGCUGGCGGCGUGCUUAACACAUGCAAGUCGAACGGUAAGGCCCUUCGGGGUACACGAGUGGCGAACGGGUGAGUAACACGUGGGUGAUCUGCCCUGCACUUUGGGAUAAGCCUGGGAAACUGGGUCUAAUACCGAAUACACCCUGCUGGUCGCAUGGCCUGGUGGGGGAAAGCUUUUGCGGUGUGGGAUGGGCCCGCGGCCUAUCAGCUUGUUGGUGGGGUGAUGGCCUACCAAGGCGACGACGGGUAGCCGGCCUGAGAGGGUGUCCGGCCACACUGGGACUGAGAUACGGCCCAGACUCCUACGGGAGGCAGCAGUGGGGAAUAUUGCACAAUGGGCGCAAGCCUGAUGCAGCGACGCCGCGUGAGGGAUGACGGCCUUCGGGUUGUAAACCUCUUUCAAUAGGGACGAAGCGCAAGUGACGGUACCUAUAGAAGAAGCACCGGCCAACUACGUGCCAGCAGCCGCGGUAAUACGUAGGGUGCGAGCGUUGUCCGGAAUUACUGGGCGUAAAGAGCUCGUAGGUGGUUUGUCGCGUUGUUCGUGAAAACUCACAGCUUAACUGUGGGCGUGCGGGCGAUACGGGCAGACUGGAGUACUGCAGGGGAGACUGGAAUUCCUGGUGUAGCGGUGGAAUGCGCAGAUAUCAGGAGGAACACCGGUGGCGAAGGCGGGUCUCUGGGCAGUAACUGACGCUGAGGAGCGAAAGCGUGGGGAGCGAACAGGAUUAGAUACCCUGGUAGUCCACGCCGUAAACGGUGGGUACUAGGUGUGGGUUUCCUUCCUUGGGAUCCGUGCCGUAGCUAACGCAUUAAGUACCCCGCCUGGGGAGUACGGCCGCAAGGCUAAAACUCAAAGAAAUUGACGGGGGCCCGCACAAGCGGCGGAGCAUGUGGAUUAAUUCGAUGCAACGCGAAGAACCUUACCUGGGUUUGACAUGCACAGGACGCCGGCAGAGAUGUCGGUUCCCUUGUGGCCUGUGUGCAGGUGGUGCAUGGCUGUCGUCAGCUCGUGUCGUGAGAUGUUGGGUUAAGUCCCGCAACGAGCGCAACCCUUGUCUCAUGUUGCCAGCACGUUAUGGUGGGGACUCGUGAGAGACUGCCGGGGUCGACUCGGAGGAAGGUGGGGAUGACGUCAAGUCAUCAUGCCCCUUAUGUCCAGGGCUUCACACAUGCUACAAUGGCCGGUACAAAGGGCUGCGAUGCCGUGAGGUGGAGCGAAUCCUUUCAAAGCCGGUCUCAGUUCGGAUCGGGGUCUGCAACUCGACCCCGUGAAGUCGGAGUCGCUAGUAAUCGCAGAUCAGCAACGCUGCGGUGAAUACGUUCCCGGGCCU